AAAUUGAAGAGUUUGAUCAUGGCUCAGAUUGAACGCUGGCGGCAGGCCUAACACAUGCAAGUCGAACGGUAACAGGAAGCAGCUUGCUGUUUCGCUGACGAGUGGCGGACGGGUGAGUAAUGUCUGGGAAACUGCCUGAUGGAGGGGGAUAACUACUGGAAACGGUGGCUAAUACCGCAUAACGUCGCAAGACCAAAGAGGGGGACCUUCGGGCCUCUUGCCAUCAGAUGUGCCCAGAUGGGAUUAGCUAGUUGGUGAGGUAACGGCUCACCAAGGCGACGAUCCCUAGCUGGUCUGAGAGGAUGACCAGCCACACUGGAACUGAGACACGGUCCAGACUCCUACGGGAGGCAGCAGUGGGGAAUAUUGCACAAUGGGCGCAAGCCUGAUGCAGCCAUGCCGCGUGUAUGAAGAAGGCCUUCGGGUUGUAAAGUACUUUCAGCGGGGAGGAAGGUGUUGUGGUUAAUAACCGCAGCAAUUGACGUUACCCGCAG
Molecule: ribosomal RNA, 494 nt
Filed under: Salmonella enterica
Lineage: Bacteria; Pseudomonadati; Pseudomonadota; Gammaproteobacteria; Enterobacterales; Enterobacteriaceae
Description: bacterial SSU rRNA
Rfam family: Bacterial small subunit ribosomal RNA
Source: RNAcentral